This is a long non-coding RNA of Phycodurus eques (leafy seadragon), 275 nucleotides long. RefSeq lists it as uncharacterized. The record is from RefSeq and is a predicted model, not a curated record. NCBI's taxonomy places the organism in Eukaryota, Metazoa, Chordata, Actinopteri, Syngnathiformes, Syngnathidae. The transcript has 5 exons.
CGUCAUACAUCUAUUAUAAAACCACGUCGCUGCAUCAAAUCUCUCUUUUCUUCCAUCCAGCCUCAGACGAAGGAGGACGACGUUAUUUGUGUUAGGCUCAUGAAUGUCUUAGGACUACAAAUGAGAGGGUGAAAGGUCCCCAGUGGCGCUCAGUUCAAGUGUUCGAGAGGGAGACUCUUGGGGUCUUUGGACUUCGCAUGCAUCGCCUGGAGUUGUUGGCAUACUUUAACAGAACUUGUUUGGGUUUGUUAAUAAAACAAAUUUUGUAUCUUUAA